UACGUUCCCGGGUCUUGUACACACCGCCCGUCACACCAUGGGAGCGGGUUUUACCAGAAGUAGGUAGCUUAACCGCAAGGGGGGCGCUUACCACGGUAGGAUUCGUGACUGGGGGUG
Molecule: ribosomal RNA, 117 nt
Filed under: uncultured bacterium
Lineage: Bacteria
Description: partial 16S ribosomal RNA
Rfam family: Bacterial small subunit ribosomal RNA
Source: RNAcentral